UACGUAGGGGGCGAGCGUUAUCCGGAUUCACUGGGUGUAAAGGGAGCGUAGACGGCCAUGCAAGCCAGGGGUGAAAGCCCGGGGCUCAACCCCGGGACUGCUUUGGAAACUGCCUGGCUGGAGUGCUGGAGAGGCAAGCGGAAUUCCUAGUGUAGCGGUGAAAUGCGUAGAUAUUAGGAGGAACACCAGUGGCGAAGGCGGCUUACUGGACUGUAACUGACGUUGAGGCUCGAAAGCGUGGGGAGCAAACAGG
This 253-nucleotide ribosomal RNA is filed under the name uncultured Lachnospiraceae bacterium. RNAcentral's name for it is "partial 16S ribosomal RNA". It matches the Rfam family "Bacterial small subunit ribosomal RNA", at positions 524 to 776 of the family's 1533-position model. Lineage: Bacteria; Bacillati; Bacillota; Clostridia; Lachnospirales; Lachnospiraceae. The record is from RNAcentral.